GAACCGUCCAAACGUUUAUUCGGAAUCAUUGGGCUUAAAGGGUGCGUAGGCGGUGCGGUCAGUUGGGUGUGAAAUCCCUCGGCUCAACCGAGGAACUGCGCCCAAUACUGCCGUACUCGAGGGAGACAGAGGUAAGCGGAACUGAUGGUGGAGCGGUGAAAUGCGUUGAUAUCAUCAGGAACACCUGUGGCGAAAGCGGCUUACUGGGUCUCUUCUGACGCUGAGGCACGAAAGCUAGGGGAGCGAACGGGGGAUUAGAUACCCCGGUAGUCCUAGCUGUAAACGAUGAGCACUUGAUCGGAGACUCCUCCAUAGGUUUCCGGUCGUAGCGAAAGUGUUAAGUGCUCCGCCUGGGGAGUAUGGUCGCAAGGCUG
Molecule: ribosomal RNA, 374 nt
Filed under: uncultured organism
Description: partial 16S ribosomal RNA
Rfam family: Bacterial small subunit ribosomal RNA
Source: RNAcentral